UGAUGCUACGUUCGCCGCGCAUGCGCGAGAAAACCCGGCCCGUCUCACAACUCACACACUGCCUGCUACCACUACCACUGUAAUACCGCCAAGCACUAUACUCGGGCAGGACGAGAAGGAAAAUCAAAGACCGAGACGAUCUAGGAAGCAGAGCCAACCGAGACAGGUGAAACGGCAUUCCCGGCGCAAUCUAAUACCUGCAGUAGUUGAACUGCUUGAAGCACAAUCUGCAAAUCCAUCUCAUAAAUUGAAGGUAUGUUGUAUUUGAAAUAUUUAAGUAAAAAUAUAUAUUUUUAAUCUAUUAUAUAUAUCUAUUAUAUAAAUCUAUAUUUUUGCUCUAUUAUAUACAUAUACUCGAAUAUAUGCUUACAAAAGAUUUUUAGAUUUCGAAGAAAGCACCCAUAAAUUAAUAAAAAUGCGACUGAAACCCAGACAGGAAAUCGAACUAUUGGUAAUGCACAAAAUUCUAUAAAAAGUAAUACAAUGAACAAAUAAGUCAAUUAUAAUAUACUAAUUUGUACAAAAGAUAAUAAUCAUAAAAAAUAGUUCUCUUAUAUGUUUGUAACACCAAGUUCUUGUAAUAUAUGUAAAUUAAAAAGAGUUUUUUUGUA
Molecule: long non-coding RNA, 611 nt
Organism: Formica exsecta
Lineage: Eukaryota; Metazoa; Arthropoda; Insecta; Hymenoptera; Formicidae
Exons: 2
Source: RefSeq, a predicted model, not a curated record